This 301-nucleotide ribosomal RNA is filed under the name uncultured bacterium. RNAcentral describes it as "partial 16S ribosomal RNA". It matches the Rfam family "Bacterial small subunit ribosomal RNA", at positions 509 to 809 of the family's 1533-position model. The record is from RNAcentral.
CAGCCGCCGCGGGAACACAGAGGGUGCGAGCGUUAAUCGGAUUUACUGGGCGUAAAGCGUGCGUAGGCGGCUUUUUAAGUCGGAUGUGAAAUCCCUGAGCUUAACUUAGGAAUUGCAUUCGAUACUGGGAAGCUAGAGUAUGGGAGAGGAUGGUAGAAUUCCAGGUGUAGCGGUGAAAUGCGUAGAGAUCUGGAGGAAUACCGAUGGCGAAGGCAGCCAUCUGGCCUAAUACUGACGCUGAGGUACGAAAGCAUGGGGAGCAAACAGGAUUAGAUACCCCAGUAGUCCCUGUCUCUUAUAA